CUUAGCGGACGGUGAACCAAUGCC
This 24-nucleotide non-coding RNA is filed under the name Arabidopsis thaliana (thale cress). The record is from RNAcentral. Lineage: Eukaryota; Viridiplantae; Streptophyta; Magnoliopsida; Brassicales; Brassicaceae.